RNAcentral lists this ribosomal RNA (475 nucleotides) under Cercospora beticola. Its description in RNAcentral is "partial 12S small subunit ribosomal RNA". It matches the Rfam family "Bacterial small subunit ribosomal RNA", at positions 399 to 889 of the family's 1533-position model. Lineage: Eukaryota; Fungi; Ascomycota; Dothideomycetes; Mycosphaerellales; Mycosphaerellaceae. The record is from RNAcentral.
AUUUGGGGGAUGAAGUUAUAUAUUGAAAUAUAAAUAUAUACGCAUCGACUAUGUCGUAUAAAGUUCUAAAUAGAAGAUUGAUUAUGACAGAUUUCUAUUUAUGUGUCUCGACCAAUUCUUGUGCCAGCAGUCGCGGCAACACAAGCGAGACUAGUGUUAUUCAUCUUUAUUAGGUUUAAAGGGUACCUAGACGGUAUUUUCAGCCUGUGCAGGGUACAAAAAUACUAGAGUUUUAUUUGAGAGGUAAAUAUUAGGACUAUUGGUGUAAAGAUGAAAUUUUUUGAUACUAAUGGGACGGAUAACGGCGAAGGCAAUCCUCUAUAUAUGAACUGACGUUAAGGGACGAAGGCUUGGGGAGCGAAUAGGAUUAGAUACCCUAGUAGUCCAGGCAGAAAAUUAUGAAUNNNNNNNNNGACCNAGAAAAAAUUGGUGUAUAAAUGAAAGUGUNNGCNUUCCACCUCAAGAGUAAUGUGGC